UACCCAGUGUAACUUUAGUGGCGGACGGGUGAGUAACACGUGAGAAUUUACCUUUAGGAGGGGAAUAGCAGUUGGAAACGACUGCUAAUGCCGCAUAUCAUAUUUAUGAAAGAAGAAAUUCGCCUAAAGAAAAGCUUGCGUCUGAUUAGCUAGUUGGUAAGGGUAAAGGCCUACCAAGGCGACGAUCAGUAGCUGGUUUGAGAGGACGAUCAGCCACACUGGAACUGAGACACGGUCCAGACUCCUACGGGAGGCAGCAGUGGGGAAUUUUCUGCAAUGGGCGAAAGCCUGACAGAGCAAUACCGCGUGAGGGAAGAAAGCCCACAGGGUUGUAAACCUCUUUUGUCAAGGAAGAAGUUCUGACGUUACUUGACGAAUAAGCAUCGGCUAACUCCGUGCCAGCAGCCGCGGUAAGACGGGGGAUGCAAGUGUUAUCCGGAAUCACUGGGCGUAAAGCGUUUGUAGGUGGUUUAGUAAGUCUAUUGUUAAAUCUUGAAGCUUAACUUCAAAAGUGUAAUAGAAACUACUAGACUUGAGGAUAGUAGGGGUAAAGGGAAUUUCCAGUGGAGCGGUGAAAUGCGUAGAGAUUGGAAGGACCACCGAUGGCGAAGGCACUUUACUGGGCUAUUUCUGACACUAAGAGACGAAAG
Molecule: ribosomal RNA, 650 nt
Filed under: uncultured bacterium
Lineage: Bacteria
Description: bacterial SSU rRNA
Rfam family: Bacterial small subunit ribosomal RNA
Source: RNAcentral